GACGAACCGUGCGAACGUUGUUCGGAUUCACUGGGCUUAAAGGGCGCGUAGGCGGGCCCGCAAGUCGGGGGUGAAAUCCCACGGCCCAACCGUGGAAGAGCUUCCGAUACUGCGGGCCUGGAGGGAGGUAGGGGCGUGUGGAACUUCCGGUGGAGCGGUGAAAUGCGUAGAUAUCGGAAGGAACGCCGGUGGCGAAAGCGACGCGCUGGACCUCUUCUGACGCUGAGGCGCGAAAGCCAGGGGAGCAAACAGG
This 253-nucleotide ribosomal RNA is filed under the name uncultured bacterium. RNAcentral's name for it is "partial 16S ribosomal RNA". It matches the Rfam family "Bacterial small subunit ribosomal RNA", at positions 524 to 776 of the family's 1533-position model. The record is from RNAcentral.